UUUCUGCUCAUUUAGAGGUGCAAAGGAAAACAUUUAGAACUUUCCAGAUGAAUAAAUUGCAUUUCAUCUGAAUGAACAUCUAACUUUGGAGAUGGAGAGAACAUUCUUUCGUAUUGUUGUAGAUAUGCCUAGUAUAAUAUUGGUAUAAUUAAUUUUUCAGCUACAAUGCAGAUUCCUGGGUCAGUGCAAAAGACCUUGUUUAUUUAGAAGUGAUUAUCUGAGAAAGUGGCUCAUAAGUCUUAGAUUCCUGGAAUGCACAGUCUGGUCUGCAAAUUAAAAUAGCUAUUUAAAUUCCCUUUAUGAAAAUUAUGCCUGAUAGGGCACUUCCAUGUGCAGUGAGGUUUGUAUUUGCACAUCUAGAGCAUCCAGGAAAUCAGCGAAGUUGCGUUUUGUGUCUUUAGAUAUGCUACAGUUGAUAAACCCUAAGAUUCAGAUAUUAACUAUUGGAUAAGCUCUUGCAUUUCCCAUAACUUUAGCUUUGAAGCCAUUCAUUACAUUAAUACUAAGGAAAGAAUGUCAGAAAAUCCAAAGAGAGAGAAUUCACAGUUAUGAUUUUUGGACAUAUAAUUGGAAAGAAGUCAGAUUUGGCUUUUACAAUUAGUGCCAUAUAAUGUCACACAAAGUAUUUCCUGCAGUGUGCUCAAAGAGGUCAAUUUGUGAUUUAUUUGCAAGUCAUAGUUCUGAAAUUACUGACUUGUGUGUGUAACAAUUUAGCUUUAACUUGGGCACUUAAUUUAGCAUUAAAUAUAGCUCCUCUUCAAUAUUGAUCCUUGCCCUGAACAAGAUAUCAUUUCAUAAACCCAAUUAAACAUGGUGCCUACUGUGGUUUAAAUACCAAGACAGAUUAAAUGUAUUGUCCAGUUUCACAGAUCAGCAAUGCUUCUCUUCCUGUAUCACUAGCUCAUGAUUAACAUAAGGGACCAGUCUGUGCCAGUGGAUGGGCCAGAAUUAAAAGAGGAUAAAUAUUGAUGUCCUGCCUGAAAGAAAAUUGGGCACCCAAGGUGUCAGAGAGUUGUCUGAUAUACUGUGACAUGAAUGUCCCAUAUGUAUAAAUUGCAGCCUUUUUAAAAUAAGGUAGAAUUGUUUGUGGAAGAUUAAAAACUCUCUUUCUAAAUUGUUGAAUUAAAAUAUUUAGUUAAUAAAUAAAUCACUGCUAUUUUCAUCAAUAUUGGAGUUGUUUCUUCAAGUUUGUGUGUUUUCUCAAUUAGAAAAAAAGUCUAAUUUGUUUAAAUAGUGAGAAGUCAACAUUGAACUGUUGUCUACUCAAUAGCCACAAUUCCUUAUUUCUUGUUUACAAUGACCAUAGAUUGUUUAUGUUUGUAUUGUUGCAACAAGUUCACAGACAAUGGAUUCCUCUCCCAAUCUGGGAGGAUGAGCCAUGGUUAGUCUAGGCCAUGAAUAUUGUGGUAGAUUGUAUUGUGUGUUCAUAAUUCUUUGUUCUCUGGCCAGGUGCAGUGUCUCACGCCUGUAAUCCUAGCACUUCGGGAAACUGAGGCGGGCAGAUUGCCAGAGCUCAGGAGUUCGAGACUGGCCUGGGCAACAUGGCAAAACCCCUCUCUACUAAAAAUACAAAAAAUUAGCUGGGUAUGCUGGUGCGCACCUGUAAUCCCAGCUACUUGGGAGCCUGAGGUGUGAGAAUCACUUGAACCCAGAAGGCGAAGAAUGCAGUGAGCCAAGAUUGUGCCACUGCACUCCAGCCUGGAUGACAGAGCGAGACUCUGUCUCAGAAAAAAAUAAUUAAAAAAGAUGAUUCUUGUUCCCUCCCCAUCCUUACCUUUUUUUAAUGAGGAAAGAGAAUAUUUCCCUGUAUCACUGACUUUGGGCUUGGCUAUGUGACUGCUCUACCCAACAGAAUUUGGGUAGGUUAAUAGUAAUAGAAGUAACUAAGCAGAACUUUAAAGAAGCUUCUCCUCUUCAACUCUUGCUUAUAAAGCAUUAUAAAAAUCAAUAUAUAUAAAGCAUUAUAAAAAUCAAAUGCCCUAAGUAGUCUGUGUCCUUCAACAUGGGUCCAGGAAUGAGAGACACCUGGAGCACACCUGACUCUCAUCUGUAGUCUAAGGUAGAACUGCUGCAACCAAUUCACAAAAUUCAUGAGCAAGGAGUAAAUGCUUGCUGUUAUCGGUCAGUAACUUCUUGUCAUGUUUCUUAAGCAUUAUUGGAGCAAAAGCAAACUAAUACAAAUGUUAAUGUAAUUCCUUUGCUUGUGAUUGAUUUAGAGAUGAAUAUUUGUCUUGUUUCCAGCUAAUACAAUGUAUUUAGGAAGAAUGCCAAAGGAGGGAGCUUAUUAGUAGGAUUUUGACCUCUAAUGAAAAUGAUGGCCAAAUAUAUGAAAUUUUUUCUUUCUUUGGUUUUUAUUGUUCAAAGACAUAAUUAUUUAAGUUGUGUUAGUUGUGUGUGAUCUUUUAACUGUGAGGAAUUACAUAGAAUGAAAAUGGAAUGUGCUGUGGUGGCAGAACAGAAAGAAGUUGGGUGAUUGACACCAUUGAGCUGCUGCAGGAAAUCUGUUAGUCUCCAUUUCCAGGGGUCU
RNAcentral lists this long non-coding RNA (2527 nucleotides) under Homo sapiens (human). Its description in RNAcentral is "long non-coding RNA NONHSAT167330". Lineage: Eukaryota; Metazoa; Chordata; Mammalia; Primates; Hominidae. The record is from RNAcentral.